Molecule: transfer RNA, 72 nt
Filed under: Mycobacteroides chelonae
Lineage: Bacteria; Bacillati; Actinomycetota; Actinomycetes; Mycobacteriales; Mycobacteriaceae
Description: tRNA-Gln
Rfam family: tRNA
About the family: Transfer RNA (tRNA) molecules are approximately 80 nucleotides in length. Their secondary structure includes four short double-helical elements and three loops (D, anti-codon, and T loops).
Source: RNAcentral
UGCCUUGUGGGGUAAUUGGCAGCCCACUGGAUUUUGGUUCCGGGAGUUCAGGUUCGAGCCCUGGCGAGGCAG